CAGAUCAAAGUUCACCUAAUAACAGAAGCCUUCCCUGAACCCCAUAAAAAUUAGCACCUCAUGGCACAGUGCUGUCUUCUGAACACAAAGCUGACACUAGGUGUUGCUUCUGCAACUACCCAUUGCUAUUGAUGGUCGUUGUUCUCCUUUGGGGAAAGUAAGAGGGAGGAGGACCCAGUCUGAGUGGU
RNAcentral lists this small nucleolar RNA (188 nucleotides) under Canis lupus familiaris (dog). RNAcentral's name for it is "Small nucleolar RNA U3 (multiple genes)". The stretch from base 56 to 188 matches the Rfam family "Small nucleolar RNA U3", at positions 76 to 219 of the family's 219-position model. Rfam says of the family: Small nucleolar RNAs (snoRNAs) are involved in the processing and modification of rRNA in the nucleolus. Lineage: Eukaryota; Metazoa; Chordata; Mammalia; Carnivora; Canidae. The record is from RNAcentral.